AUUGAACGCUGGCGGCAUGCUUUACACAUGCAAGUCGAACGGUAACAGGCCUUCGGGUGCUGACGAGUGGCGAACGGGUGAGUAAUGCAUCGGAACGUGCCCAGAGGUGGGGGAUAACGCAGCGAAAGCUGUGCUAAUACCGCAUGUGAUCUGAGGAUGAAAGCGGGGGACCAGGCAGCAAUGUUUGGCCUCGCGCCUUUGGAGCGGCCGAUGUCAGAUUAGGUAGUUGGUGGGGUAAAGGCCUACCAAGCCGACGAUCUGUAGCUGGUCUGAGAGGACGACCAGCCACACUGGGACUGAGACACGGCCCAGACUCCUACGGGAGGCAGCAGUGGGGAAUUUUGGACAAUGGGCGCAAGCCUGAUCCAGCGAUGCCGCGUGCGGGAAGAAGGCCUUCGGGUUGUAAACCGCUUUUGUACGGAACGAAAAGGCUCUGGCUAAUACCUGGGGCUGAUGACGGUACCGUAAGAAUAAGCACCGGCUAACUACGUG
This 492-nucleotide ribosomal RNA is filed under the name uncultured bacterium. Its description in RNAcentral is "partial 16S ribosomal RNA". It matches the Rfam family "Bacterial small subunit ribosomal RNA", at positions 30 to 507 of the family's 1533-position model. The record is from RNAcentral.